UUGACCUCGAAUCAGGUAGGGAUACCCGCUGAACUUAAGCAUAUCAAUAAGCGGAGGAAAAGAAACCAACCGGGAUUACCCUANUAACGGCGAGUGAAGCGGNAAAA
RNAcentral lists this ribosomal RNA (107 nucleotides) under Phyllactinia actinidiae. RNAcentral's name for it is "partial 28S ribosomal RNA". It matches the Rfam family "Eukaryotic large subunit ribosomal RNA", at positions 1 to 106 of the family's 3401-position model. The record is from RNAcentral. Lineage: Eukaryota; Fungi; Ascomycota; Leotiomycetes; Helotiales; Erysiphaceae.